Long non-coding RNA from Cervus elaphus (red deer), 619 nucleotides. RefSeq lists it as uncharacterized. The record is from RefSeq and is a predicted model, not a curated record. NCBI's taxonomy places the organism in Eukaryota, Metazoa, Chordata, Mammalia, Artiodactyla, Cervidae. The transcript is spliced from 4 exons.
CCCAUGAUCAUCCUGGCCAGGCCCAAAGCUCUGAAAUUCCAUCUUGUGUGUGGGGACAAUUGGCCUCUGCCGCAAAUAAAGUGCCCAGCACCUCAGGGUGAUUCUGUGGUUCUUCACACAUCGUGAUGGACACAGCCUGUAAUUCUUGUUAAGUGAUCAACAUUUGGUUCCCUGUGAAAAAAAUAGACCUGCACACAAAUCACCUGAAAGACUGAUGGUAAUGACAAGAGAGCAGCUACAAAAAUAAAAGUUCUUAGCCAGAAAAUGGUUUAAUACAAUUUUUGGUCCUGUAUUUUUAACAUCAUUAAUCUCUUAAGAAGCCUAAAGAGUCACAGACUUCUCAAAUGGACUUUCCUACACGUUACGGAGAAUGCUGUAUGCCAUGGUGAUAUUUAAUAAUUAAGAAUUGAGAUUUUCCUCAGCCGAGAUGGAACAACCUCCUUUGCUGAGGUGGAAGAACCAGAUUAUUUCCUAUGGUUUUGGAGUUAUCCUCUGAAAGAAGGCUGGAUUUUGCUGCUUUAUGGUUUCUCCGAAACAGAACUUCCCGAGGCAGUUAGAGGGACUGACUUUUGACAUACAGGACUGAUUUUAUGGAUGAGACCAUUGCUUCACUGCUAAU